AACGAACGCUGGCGGCGUGCUUAAGACAUGCAAGUCGUGCGAGAAAGCCACCUUCGGGUGGUGAGUAGAGCGGCGCACGGGUGAGUAACGCGUGGGUAAUCUGCCUUCGGGUCCGGGAUAACGCCGGGAAACUGGUGCUAAUACCGGAUGAGACCACGAUGUCCUCGGACUUCGCGGAAAAAGGUGGCCUCUCCUUGGAAGCUAUCGCCUGAAGAUGAGCCCGCGUCCCAUUAGCUUGUUGGUGAGGUAACAGCUCACCAAGGCUUCGAUGGGUAGCUGGUCUGAGAGGAUGAUCAGCCACACUGGAACUGAGACACGGUCCAGACUCCUACGGGAGGCAGCAGUCGGGAAUCUUGGGCAAUGGGCGAAAGCCUGACCCAGCAACGCCGCGUGAGGGAUGAAGGCCUUCGGGUCGUAAACCUCUGUCGGGAGGGAAGAAGUGGCCGUCGGUUAAUACCCGGCGGCCUUGACGGUACCUCCAAAGGAAGGACCGGCUAACUCCGUG
This 505-nucleotide ribosomal RNA is filed under the name uncultured bacterium. RNAcentral's name for it is "bacterial SSU rRNA". It matches the Rfam family "Bacterial small subunit ribosomal RNA", at positions 28 to 507 of the family's 1533-position model. The record is from RNAcentral.